CAAACGUCAAAUGCUUACUCGGUGCUGUUCAGCAUUCUGUCCAUCUCUCUAGUCAAUGUGCCACGGAAAGGAUCGUGGACUUUGCUGGAAGCUGUAUGGGGGAACCCUGCCUCAAGGUAACCAAACCAGGGGAACGAGAUGCACAUGCCGGGAGGGACCUUGCCCCGGGAAGGCGGAAAGGCGGAGGCAGCCUAAGAUUUGGGGCCAGAUGAGCCCACUUCCUAUGUGAUGGCUGUAAAUCAAUGAACUCCUCUGAGUUUCUCAAUUACUUCAUGUAUAAAAUUGAAAGAGUACAAAGCUGACAGAUGAUGUUACUGUGGGAUUGAAGGAGGGCCAAAGAUGUCUCCUCAAUUCUGGAGAGUAAGCAGUGAUGGAUAGGGAGACCGUCUGCCAAAGUUCUUGAACAUCACCUAUUAAGGCAGCCAAACGAGAAGCAGAGGUCUACUACUUCUUGAAAUCCAGACUCCUCACCGAGAGGUCAGAACCCGCACUCUUGGCUGCAGUCUGACUUCUCUGAUGCCUUUGCCUUGUUCUGAUUGGAGGAAGUUGCCCAGACAGCGGUGCUGGAGGUUCAUUAGCACGUACCAGAGGGUUCCUCACCUGCUGGGUAACCGACCAGGGCAAGCGAAGACCCAAGACCCAAGACCCAUGCACUGAGUGACAGGCCACAAGCAGGGCUGUGCUUGGGGCUCCCCACCACUGGAAGCCCAGCCGUGCACUCACACAUCUGCCCCUCUGCACAGCAACGUGAUAUUAUUUAUUGGUUCACAUCAUCUAGG
This 779-nucleotide long non-coding RNA is filed under the name Equus caballus (horse). RNAcentral describes it as "lncRNA (ENSECAG00000045137.1)". The record is from RNAcentral. Lineage: Eukaryota; Metazoa; Chordata; Mammalia; Perissodactyla; Equidae.